GACGAACGCUGGCGGCGUGCUUAACACAUGCAAGUCGAACGGAAAGGCCCUGCUUGCAGGGUACUCGAGUGGCGAACGGGUGAGUAACACGUGGGUGAUCUGCCCUGCACUUCGGGAUAAGCCUGGGAAACUGGGUCUAAUACCGGAGAGGAGCCAUUUUUAGGGUGGGGGUUGGAAAGUUUUUUCGGUGUAGGAUGAGCUCGCGGCCUAUCAGCUUGUUGGUGGGGUAAUGGCCUACCAAGGCGGCGACGGGUAGCCGGCCUGAGAGGGUGGCCGGCCACAUUGGGACUGAGAUACGGCCCAGACUCCUACGGGAGGCAGCAGUGGGGAAUAUUGCACAAUGGGCGCAAGCCUGAUGCAGCGACGCCGCGUGGGGGAUGACGGCCUUCGGGUUGUAAACUCCUUUCGCUAGGGACGAAGCUUUUUGUGACGGUACCUAGAUAAGAAGCACCGGCUAACUACGU
RNAcentral lists this ribosomal RNA (464 nucleotides) under uncultured bacterium. RNAcentral describes it as "partial 16S ribosomal RNA". It matches the Rfam family "Bacterial small subunit ribosomal RNA", at positions 28 to 506 of the family's 1533-position model. The record is from RNAcentral.